This 404-nucleotide ribosomal RNA is filed under the name Aldisa albatrossae. RNAcentral describes it as "partial 16S ribosomal RNA". It matches the Rfam family "Bacterial large subunit ribosomal RNA", at positions 1921 to 2597 of the family's 2925-position model. The record is from RNAcentral. Lineage: Eukaryota; Metazoa; Mollusca; Gastropoda; Nudibranchia; Dorididae.
UAAUGAAUGGCCGCGGUACUUUGACCGUGCUAAGGUAGCGUAAUUAGUUGGCUUUUAAAUGAGGUCAUGUAUGAAUGGAAUAACGAAAUUUAGCUGUCUUUUAAAAUAUUUUAUUGAAAUUACUAUAUAGGUGAAAAAGCCUAUGUAUAGAAAAAGGACGAGAAGACCCUUAGAACUUGGCUUAUACUAAGAGACAUAAUUUUUACUUAAAAUGGUUUUGUUGGGGCAACAUAGGAACAAUUUUUAACCUCUUUAAAAAUAUUUACCGAUGAUUAUAAAUUUAAAUAAGUUACCUUAGGGAUAACAGCAAAAUACUAUAAAUGAGUUUGUGACCUCGAUGUUGGACUAGAAAAUUAAUAGGCUAGUCGCUUAUUAAUAAAGUUCUGUUCGAACUAUAAUUUUCU